RNAcentral lists this unclassified non-coding RNA (332 nucleotides) under soil metagenome. RNAcentral's name for it is "partial contains 5.8S ribosomal RNA, internal transcribed spacer 2, and large subunit ribosomal RNA". The stretch from base 1 to 120 matches the Rfam family "5.8S ribosomal RNA", at positions 35 to 154 of the family's 154-position model. The record is from RNAcentral.
GAUGAAGAACGCAGCGAAAUGUGAUACGUAAUGUGAAUUGCAGAUUUCAGUGAAUCAUCGAAUCUUUGAACGCACAUUGCGCCCGCUAGUAUUCUGGCGGGCAUGCCUGUUCGAGCGUCAUUUCAACCAUCAAGCCCUAGGCUUGCGUUGGAGCCCUGCGGCUGCCGCAGGCUCCCAAAUCCAGUGGCGGGCUCGUCGUCGUACCGAGUGCAGUAAACAUCCUCGCUCAGGGAACGUGACGGGUUCUUGCCGUGAAACCCCCCACAUAUCAAGGUUGACCUCGGAUCAGGUAGGAAUACCCGCUGAACUUAAGCAUAUCAAUAAGCGGAGGA